GACGAACGCUGGCGGCGUGCUUAACACAUGCAAGUCGAACGGAAAGGCCCUGCUUUUGUGGGGUGCUCGAGUGGUGAACGGGUGAGUAACACGUGAGUAACCUGCCCUUGACUUUGGGAUAACUUCUGGAAACUGGGGCUAAUACCGGAUAGGAGCUCCUGCUGCAUGGUGGGGGUUGGAAAGUUUCGGCGGGUGGGGAUGGACUCGCGGCUUGUCAGCUUGUUGGGGGGGUAGUGGCUUACCAAGGCUUUGACGGGUAGCCGGCCUGGGAGGGUGACCGGACACGUUGGGACUGAGAUGCGGCACAGACUACUACGGGAGGCAGCGGUGGGGAAGAGUGCAUAAUGGGCGGAAGGCUGAUGCAGCAACGCCGCGUGGGGGGUGACGGCCUUCGGGUUGUAAACCGCUUUCGCCUGUGACGAAGCGUGAGUGACGGUAAUGGGUAAAGAAGCACCGGCUAACUACGUG
This 468-nucleotide ribosomal RNA is filed under the name uncultured bacterium. RNAcentral's name for it is "partial 16S ribosomal RNA". It matches the Rfam family "Bacterial small subunit ribosomal RNA", at positions 28 to 507 of the family's 1533-position model. The record is from RNAcentral.